Long non-coding RNA from Magallana angulata, 3502 nucleotides. RefSeq lists it as uncharacterized. The transcript has 3 exons. NCBI's taxonomy places the organism in Eukaryota, Metazoa, Mollusca, Bivalvia, Ostreida, Ostreidae. The record is from RefSeq and is a predicted model, not a curated record.
GUAAACACAGAUAUUGUUACAUGUUUAUGAAACAAGCACAUGUUUCUGUUAUAAGAUAUAAUAAGCAUUAUUUAUAAUUUUACUGAAGUUAUACGUUAUAUUACAAAAUCAGUUUAAAAUCCAGCACUAGCCAUGUGGUGCACGUGAUUUUAAUCCCAUUUUUAAAAUUUGAUUAUACAUUCGUAUACAUUUGAUGUAGAAAGUAUACCAAAUAAUUAAAAUUAUAUUUUGUUUAUAUAUGAUCAGUCCGACGUGUACGUCUUACUUCCCGGCUUGUUUAACGCGUUUGUAUUUUAAUUUCAUAAGUAUUCUUAACGUAUUGCUCAUCGCAUGACCAAUCAGUGCACAUGUGUAACUGUAAAAUAAUUGCCAUCAAUUCAUCGUAGUUGUAAAUUCACCAUACGGGUGAACGCUGUUAACCGGACCCCGUUAAUUGAUCGGCAUCUAAUUAUAUUUGUGAUUUCUGUGUGUUCAUGCAGAACCUGCUCUGUGAUGAACAUAAUAUUUUCACACCUCUAUAUUUUGAAUAAGAAUAUGACCGUGCUUAGAAUCGCGGUGAAAAUUGGACAAGUCAAGACUAACUUGUCAGUAAACUAUAUAUGGCUCUAUCAUAUUUAGUUUGGCAAAAUCAUCAGUACAUGUAAAUGUAAUAUAGUUAAAGACAAAAUCUGAUACAUAUGUCUCAUUAAAACUUGUUUAAUUUCAUUAGACAUUUGUAAACAAACGGUCGGCCAUUUUUUUUGGUUAAUCACGUGUUACAAAUACAAUUGCAACAAACACACGCCAAUACUUUGUCGUAUUUAACCAGGAAAUACUGACUCCGACAGUUCUUAUUUAAAAUAAAUAUACAUGCAAAAAGUAUACUAUUCGGUAAAAAAUGAUAAUUUUGAUUAAACAUUAUUCAUUUUAAACUAUCCCAAGAUGCACUUUUCCAAGAUUUAGCGGGUUCUGAUUGGUCAGUAUUGGCGCACUUUAUGAUUCCGAGCGAAGGUUAAAAUGGACAAGAAGGUGCUGAUGUAAAAUGGAGAAUUGGGAAGCAUUAAUAGCCUCUACAACAAGGAGAUAAUGCAGAAAGGAAGAACUCAUGUCAAGCAUUGACAGCAUACAAAGUCAAUGUUUCCGGUGAUUAGUUGCAUCCUCUGUUCGGUGAUUCGGGUGAAUUUUUUGACCAGCUGGACGAUGUGAACGCAAGAUAAAUAGAACAGACAUAAAGUACAGCCCAGUGAAAGGAACAAGUUCAUCGCAAGAAGAAGAAUUUUAAUGCUACCACUGUCCAGAACUACUAAGUCUGCUGUAGCCAUGAUGUGAUCAUAUGAGUGCUUCACCGGUCUGGACAAUGCUCGAAAGUCCCCCAAAAAGGCCUAUUUCCAUAAACUACGACUCGGGUUACAUCAACAACAGCCAAGGACACUCCUUAUUGAUUCGAAUGGACACAUCUCUACGACCCGACUAAACCUCUGCAGAACAAGACUUUUUAACUGUAAAGUAUUCUCAUUUCAAAAAACCUAUAAACUAUAAAAGUACCUUUUUUAUAUGAUCAAAUACCAGUAUAUGACAAUGUCUGUCUGUAAGCUAGAAUCUUAGAAAAUCGCAUGGUUUUGACUUAUUAAAUGAUUGAUUAGACCUUGCAGAUAUUAACUUUCAUUUUCUUAAAUAAUUUGUUAUAUUUGCAAAUAUUGCAUAAAAUAUUAGACUCCAUGUAACAUAUAUCCUCACACCUCCAAGUUGAUAAGUGUUAACUACUUUUUUUCCAUUUUCUGUGUUUAAAAAUUUAUUGAUAACUUAGUUUUUAUUUGCAGCAAUAUAUGAAAAAUUAAGAAACCAAUCUUAAAUGUAAAAACACUGCAUUAGGAGAUGAAUGCAUGGGUCAUAGAAAUGAUAAAAUACACCAAACAAUAUUCAAUUAUGUCGUAUAUGAAAAUAUAUAAAGACAACAUAUACCCCAUGUAUUACAAUUUUUAUAUAACAAAAUUACUUGAAUGGAAAGUUGUUUCCAUGUGGGUUUUAUUUCAAUCUGUGUUAUGUAACUAAUAUAUAAUUGGAAUUAGCUUUUAUAUCAUAAGUAAAAUGCUGGUAUUGAUGAGAAUUGUAAGGUGAAUGAUCUUUGUGAUACUUCGUAUGUUAUACAUUCAUGUUACAAAAAGCAAGUACAUGUACAUGUAGACUAGUAAUACUUGUCAUAUAUAAACAAUGUAUAUUUUACUUCAUGUCUUGGAUUUAAAAAUAUUAAUGUAGGUAAAGUAGUGAAAUGUAGGAAGGUAAACCGUGUGUAAAGAAGAAUAUUCAUCAGGAAUGAAGUGUGUUGCAAUCAGCAUAAUUAAUUAAAUGUGUACAUCAUAUUUUUGCACAUGAUUUGACAGACUGCUCCAUUGUUAGCUUUUUAUUGGCCAACAAGCUUUUCAUAUCUCUCUCUGGGUCAUCUAUUAAAUACUGACAGGCUUAUGAUAUUAAAAUCUGAUCAGUUGGUACAUCAUGGGUGGAAAUGAAAAGUUCACUUUGGACUUAAUGGAUCAUCAAAAAAAUGAUAUCAAAUCCUGCUCUAUUGUAAAACAUUAGAUUAUAUUACUAACAAAGAAAAGGUUUAUCCCAACUUGUAAGUGGGUCACUUUGACCUCAUUUUGGAAUUUAUUGGCAUAUUCAAAUCAAAUCUGGGUCAUACCUCUAUAGUCAACUACUAUCUUGUAGUGUAUUUUUUUUUUUAAAGAUGGAUACUUUAGACUUUUCAAAACUAUUUUAUGGUGUACAUAUUCAUUGUAGUUCAAAACAAAUUGAGACAAGUGUAUCAUAUUCAUGUAACAGUGAAGUUUUCUUUGUUUAUUCAUGUAUGUGCAGUUAUUUUGUAAAUUGCAUUCAUAUUUUAAAAAAAGUAAGAUCUUUGUUGCAUUUUUAAAGGGAGAUUUUAUAGGCAUUUAAUCGAGAUGAAAAAAAAUACAAAUGUAAAGAUUUCUAUGGGAGUUUUUUUUUCUUGUGCAAUUUUAUCAUUUUUAAAUAAAAGUCCCUAAUAAGGGAAUUGCCAUAUGGAUGUUUCUCCAUUAUUGUAUCUUGGCUGUAUUUUAUUUAUUAUUGGAAACAAUUUCAGAUUUUUGAACAAAAUAAAUUUGGAACUGUUCGAAAUUGUUUUGUUUUUACAUAAAGUAGAAACCUUGCUCAGCUUUUGUGAAAGCAAAAAUAUAAAAAGUUUCAGUAAGUUUCAGUUGCGGAAACCCUUUGUAAACAAUAUGUUUCCCAAUUGUAUAUGGAGGUUGAAACUAUGCAGAAACUUCAAGUUUCAGUAAGUUUCCGUCGCGGAAACCAUUUGUAAACAAUAUGUAUCCCAAACGUAUAUGGAGAUUGAAACUAUGCAGAAACUUCAAGUUUCAGUAAGUUUCCGUUGCGGAAACCAUUUGGAUUCAUGGACAGCCUAAGUUUCAGCACUGCGGAAACUUAAUGAAACUUGAAGUUUCCGUGCUGAAACCUGUCGGAAACUUAAAGUAACCUUAAGUUUCCGCAGAGUCUCCAAAGG